RNAcentral lists this ribosomal RNA (1180 nucleotides) under Salmonella enterica subsp. enterica serovar Bareilly str. CFSAN000754. Its description in RNAcentral is "bacterial LSU rRNA". It matches the Rfam family "Bacterial large subunit ribosomal RNA", at positions 1 to 1211 of the family's 2925-position model. Lineage: Bacteria; Pseudomonadati; Pseudomonadota; Gammaproteobacteria; Enterobacterales; Enterobacteriaceae. The record is from RNAcentral.
GGGUUGUGAGGUUAAGCGACUAAGCGUACACGGUGGAUGCCCUGGCAGUCAGAGGCGAUGAAGGGCGUGCUAAUCUGCGAUAAGCGCCGGUAAGGUGAUAUGAACCGUUAUAACCGGCGAUACCCGAAUGGGGAAACCCAGUGUGAUUCGUCACACUAUCAUUACGUGAAUACAUAGGUUAAUGAGGCGAACCGGGGGAACUGAAACAUCUAAGUACCCCGAGGAAAAGAAAUCAACCGAGAUUCCCCCAGUAGCGGCGAGCGAACGGGGAGGAGCCCAGAGCCUGAAUCAGCAUGUGUGUUAGUGGAAGCGUCUGGAAAGGCGCGCGAUACAGGGUGACAGCCCCGUACACAAAAGCGCAUGUGUUGUGAGCUCGAUGAGUAGGGCGGGACACGUGGUAUCCUGUCUGAAUAUGGGGGGACCAUCCUCCAAGGCUAAAUACUCCUGACUGACCGAUAGUGAACCAGUACCGUGAGGGAAAGGCGAAAAGAACCCCGGCGAGGGGAGUGAAAAAGAACCUGAAACCGUGUACGUACAAGCAGUGGGAGCACAGGUUUACCUGUGUGACUGCGUACCUUUUGUAUAAUGGGUCAGCGACUUAUAUUCUGUAGCAAGGUUAACCGUAUAGGGGAGCCGGAGGGAAACCGAGUCUUAAUUGGGCGUUAAGUUGCAGGGUAUAGACCCGAAACCCGGUGAUCUAGCCAUGGGCAGGUUGAAGGUUGGGUAACACUAACUGGAGGACCGAACCGACUAAUGUUGAAAAAUUAGCGGAUGACCUGUGGCUGGGGGUGAAAGGCCAAUCAAACCGGGAGAUAGCUGGUUCUCCCCGAAAGCUAUUUAGGUAGCGCCUCGUGAAUUCAUCUCCGGGGGUAGAGCACUGUUUCGGCUAGGGGGCCAUCCCGGCUUACCAACCCGAUGCAAACUGCGAAUACCGGAGAAUGUUAUCACGGGAGACACACGGCGGGUGCUAACGUCCGUCGUGAAGAGGGAAACAACCCAGACCGCCAGCUAAGGUCCCAAAGUCAUGGUUAAGUGGGAAACGAUGUGGGAAGGCCCAGACAGCCAGGAUGUUGGCUUAGAAGCAGCCAUCAUUUAAAGAAAGCGUAAUAGCUCACUGGUCGAGUCGGCCUGCGCGGAAGAUGUAACGGGGCUAAACCAUGCACCGAAGCUGCGGCAGCGA